This 397-nucleotide ribosomal RNA is filed under the name uncultured bacterium. Its description in RNAcentral is "partial 16S ribosomal RNA". It matches the Rfam family "Bacterial small subunit ribosomal RNA", at positions 523 to 918 of the family's 1533-position model. The record is from RNAcentral.
GUACGUAGGGGGCGAGCGUUGUCCGGAAUGAUUGGGCGUAAAGGGCGCGUAGGCGGCGCGGUAAGUCUGGAGUGAAAGUCCUGCUUUCAAGGUGGGAAUUGCUUUGGAUACUGCCGCGCUUGAGUGCAGGAGAGGUUAUCGGAAUUCCCGGUGUAGCGGUGAAAUGCGUAGAGAUCGGGAGGAACACCAGUGGCGAAGGCGGGUAACUGGACUGCAACUGACGCUGAGGCGCGAAAGUGUGGGGAGCAAACAGGAUUAGAUACCCUGGUAGUCCACACUGUAAACGAUGAAUGCUAGGUGUAAGAGGUAUCGACCCCUUUUGUGCCGGAGUCAACACAAUAAGCAUUCCGCCUGAGGAGUACGGCCGCAAGGUUGAAACUCAAAUGAAUUGACGGGG